This 67-nucleotide transfer RNA is filed under the name Methylobacterium organophilum. RNAcentral's name for it is "tRNA-Ser". The record is from RNAcentral. Lineage: Bacteria; Pseudomonadati; Pseudomonadota; Alphaproteobacteria; Hyphomicrobiales; Methylobacteriaceae. RNAcentral also lists the same sequence under 13 other names.
GCGGGCCGGAGAGGAACGGUUAUCUUCACGUCAGGGAGGUCGCGGGUUCGAAUCCCGCCGGGCCGCG